GCCGUCGUAAUAUAAUGGUUAGCACACUCGGCGCGUAUUCGAGAGGUCCGAGGUUCGAGUCCCGGCGAGGGCA
Molecule: transfer RNA, 73 nt
Filed under: Stegodyphus mimosarum
Lineage: Eukaryota; Metazoa; Arthropoda; Arachnida; Araneae; Eresidae
Rfam family: tRNA
About the family: Transfer RNA (tRNA) molecules are approximately 80 nucleotides in length. Their secondary structure includes four short double-helical elements and three loops (D, anti-codon, and T loops).
Source: Rfam by way of RNAcentral